RNAcentral lists this ribosomal RNA (492 nucleotides) under uncultured bacterium. RNAcentral's name for it is "partial 16S ribosomal RNA". It matches the Rfam family "Bacterial small subunit ribosomal RNA", at positions 29 to 507 of the family's 1533-position model. The record is from RNAcentral.
AGUGAACGCUGGCGGUAGGCCUAACACAUGCAAGUCGAACGGCAGCACAGUAAGAGCUUGCUCUUACGGGUGGCGAGUGGCGGACGGGUGAGGAAUACAUCGGAAUCUACUUUUUCGUGGGGGAUAACGUAGGGAAACUUACGCUAAUACCGCAUACGACCUACGGGUGAAAGCAGGGGAUCUUCGGACCUUGCGCGAUUGAAUGAGCCGAUGUCGGAUUAGCUAGUUGGCGGGGUAAGGGCCCACCAAGGCGACGACCCGUAGCUGGUCUGAGAGGAUGAUCAGCCACACUGGAACUGAGACACGGUCCAGACUCCUACGGGAGGCAGCAGUGGGGAAUAUUGGACAAUGGGCGCAAGCCUGAUCCAGCCAUACCGCGUGGGUGAAGAAGGCCUUCGGGUUGUAAAGCCCUUUUGUUGGGAAAGAAAAGCAGCAGGUUAAUACCCCGCUGUUCUGACGGUACCCAAAGAAUAAGCACCGGCUAACUUCGUG